RNAcentral lists this ribosomal RNA (253 nucleotides) under uncultured bacterium. RNAcentral's name for it is "partial 16S ribosomal RNA". It matches the Rfam family "Bacterial small subunit ribosomal RNA", at positions 524 to 776 of the family's 1533-position model. The record is from RNAcentral.
UACGUAGGGUGCAAGCGUUAGUCCGGAAUUAUUGGGCGUAAAGAGCUCGUAGGCGGUCUGUCGCGUCUGCUGUGAAAACUCAGGGCUCAACCCGGACUUGCAGUGGAUACUGCCGGGCUAGAGUCCGGAAGAGGCGAGUGGAACUCCUGGUGUAGCGGUGGAAUGCGCAGAUAUCAGGAAGAACACCAACGGCGAAGGCAGCUCGCUGGGACGGUACUGACGCUGAGACGCGAAAGCGUGGGGAGCGAACAGG